Molecule: ribosomal RNA, 408 nt
Filed under: uncultured bacterium
Lineage: Bacteria
Description: partial 16S ribosomal RNA
Rfam family: Bacterial small subunit ribosomal RNA
Source: RNAcentral
GACGAACGCUGGCGGCUUGCUUAACACAUGCAAGUCGAACGAAGUGGCGCACGGGUGAGUAACGCGUAAUCAACCUGCCCUUCAGAGGGGGACAACAGUUGGAAACGACUGCUAAUACCGCAUACAUAAGGCGGGGUUUGCGUCUGAUUGGCUAGUUGGAGGGGUAACGGCCCACCAAGGCGCUGAUCAGUAGCCGGUCUGAUAGGAUGAACGGCCACAUUGGGACUGAGACACGGCCCAGACUCCUACGGGAGGCAGCAAUGGGGAAUCUUCCGCAAUGGACGAAAGUCUGACGGAGCAACGCCGCGUGAGUGAUGACGGCCUUCGGGUUGUAAAGCUCUGUUAAUCGGGACGCGGUACCGGAAUAGAAAGCCACGGCUAACUACGUGCCAGCAGCCGCGGUAAUAC